RNAcentral lists this ribosomal RNA (439 nucleotides) under uncultured bacterium. Its description in RNAcentral is "partial 16S ribosomal RNA". It matches the Rfam family "Bacterial small subunit ribosomal RNA", at positions 338 to 795 of the family's 1533-position model. The record is from RNAcentral.
CCUACGGGUGGCAGCAGUGGGGGAUAUUGCACAAUGGGGGAAACCCUGAUGCAGCGACGCCGCGUGUGGGAAGACGGUCUUCUGGAUUGUAAACCACUGUCCCCAGGGACGAAAAUGACGGUACCUGGGGAGGAAGCUCCGGCUAACUACGUGCCAGCAGCCGCGGUAAUACGUAGGGAGCAAGCGUUGUCCGUAAUUACUGGGUGUAAAGGGAGCGUAGGCGGGGAUGCAAGUUGGGUGUAAAAACUACCGGCUCAACCGAUAGUCGCACUCAAAACUGCAGCUCUUGAGUGGAGUAGAGGCAGGCGGAAUUCCUAGGGUAGCGGGGAAAUGGGUAGAUAUUAGGGGGAACACCAGUGGCGAAGGCGGCCUGCUGGGCUUUUACUGACGCUGAGGCUCGAAAGUGUGGGGAGCAAACAGGAUUAGAUACCCUGUAGUC